CACAGCCCUAGUGAAAAUGAGCAACUGUGGGAAGAGCAAGCAAAAGAGGGAGAGGAGGUAGAAUGAGAAUGGGGCGGGGCCUCAGAAUGGGGGAAGAAGUGGGGUCCUUGGAGGAGGGGCAGGUCAAAGUUGUUCAGUUUUGUGAGAGUAGAAAACUGGCAACCUUAGUAACUUAAAAUAUAAAAUCCCAGAUGCUAAAAAUUGGAAAAAUUACUCAUGGAAUGAAUACACAAUCUCAUUGGUCUUUUGCACUGCUUUUUUGUUAUUACAUAUGAUCUUUUUUUUUAUAUUAACGAGGAGUCCUUUGGCAUCUUAAAGGCUAGCAAGUUUAUGCAUUUGAUGAAGUGGGGUCCAGUCUAAGAAAUUUUAUGCCCUAAUAAAUUUGCUGCUUUUUAAGGUGCCACAAGAUUCCUCAUUGUUUUUGCUAAGAAACCAAUAUAGCUAUCUCCCUGAAAUUUAAUUCUGUGUCAUUUAUUCAGAUAAAGUCUUUAUAGUCAUGGAUUUAAAUGAUACAGAAAUACAUUUCUAAAAUAAAUAAUGAAAGACCAGAUUGUAUCUAUACUAUAGGCACAGCUACAAAGAAAGAAUGAUAUACCUUAGGAAACUAGGCAGGAGAUGCGAGCUAUAUGUCCACAUUCAGGUCGAGUUUACACUGGUAAGUUACCGCACAGUAAAUCAGUGCCCAGCACUGUAAUUUUAACUGUGUCCACACCGGCAAGGCACUUAGUGCACGCUAGCUCCGCAAUUAGUGUGCACUAGGUAAACCAUCUCCGUGAGAAGUGUAAAGUUUGCUGUACUCUAGAUAGUGCACUGGGGUGCCAGUGUGGACACUGUGGUGUAGUAAUGUGUCCUGAUUGGCACCCUUCCCACAAUGCCUGUUCUGACCUCUCUGGUCACGUUUGAACUCUAGUACCGUGCUCAGGUGACCAAGACCUGCCAAUGCAAGACCUGCAUUCUUUUUGAAUUGUGAAACUCCCCUACCUGUUUGCUUGACAACAGGUAGAGUUCUCAGCACAUCUCUCCAGUUGGCCAUUGCUCCACGCACCAAGAUCCCCGGCUUGGAGCCAUGCUGAAGUGCUGGACCUCAUCAGCAUUUGGCAAGAAGACGCAGUCCAGUCUCAGCUGUGCUCCAGCCAUGGGAAUUACAAUAUCUACAGGCACACCUCUAGGUGCAUGACUGAAAGGGGCCAUGACCAUGAUGCACUGCAGUGUAGGGUUAAAGUGAAGGAUCUGUGAAACGCGUACCACAAGGCUCGGGAAGCAAACCACCACCCUGUUGCUGUGCCCUGAUUCUACAAAGAGCUGGAGGAGAUACUUGGAAGUAACCCUAUCUCCACUUUGAAGACCCCCAUGGACAUCUCAGGGGCAGUGGACUGAGCCAGAAGAGGAAGGUGUGGCCGAGUGUGCUGAGGGGGAGAGGAACCCAGAGCCAGAGAACUUGGCAUCCUUAAAGGCUUACAGGCAGAAGCCAUUUUGUAUCCCAAAGAGACGAGCCACUCACUGCAGAUGGUGCUACUGGUAAGUGGAUGGAAAAGCACUCAAGCAACUUGCCAGGAGUGGGAGAGUUACAGAAAGGAAGAGAGGAAGCAUUUGGCCUCUCCAUUCCUACUCCUGUCAACAAGAAGCUCUAUUCCUGACUUCUUGCUGCCAGCCCUCUUCCCAUAAGAAAAGGGGAAUGUUGCUGCAGAGAACAGGUGAUAUCAGAUCCAGACCAAUUGGUUGACUGGAAGAAAGCCCCUUGGUUUGGGCUUUGGGGAGAUGCAUGUGCUAGUGCUGCUGGUGGUUCAAGAGGUCACAUAGGAUAUGUUCACACUAUACUAUAUACCUGGAUCAGAGGGACCUAAGCUCAGGGAUUCAGUGUUUUCAAGCCCAUGCUUGAGUGUCCAUGCUACAUUGUAAACUUAGGCUUACAGUUGCUGAAUCCAGGUCACACAGCUUCCUUGAGUGUCCAUACUGCAUUGGAGAGACCUUCUGGGCCAAGCUUGGUUUUUAGUGGUUAGGUGUUCAUUACAUCAGUUGAACAGUCAGUCUUCAAAAUUGGGCCUGGAGAGGAAUUUCUCUUUGGCCUUGACAUAUGGCCUCUUGAGGCAUGCUAAGACUCUGCAAUCUUACACAUUGCUAUUGCCUUGUGAUGGAGUAUAUACCCCAUCCUGACUAUGAAAGGCUUAAUGUGGUCCUGAGAGGCCACUCACUCACCUGGUUGUACCUGGAGGGUAGGAUAGUCUUAAUUUAGAUCAAUCCCAGGUGGGGAGGGACCUGGGUGGUGAUUGUAUAAGACCGGAGGAGAAAAAUAACAUAUUGUUCAUUUGCCCCCAAUACUUUCUCCAGUUUUAUUUUUGCAUUUUUAAUUCCUUGCACCACCGCUUUACCCCUUUCAUUGUUCAUUAAAUCCUUGCUAUUUAUUAUACUUUUUGCUUGUUUGUAUUUCUAUUUUUUUCCCUCAGAUUCUUGUUUGACAAUCUUCAUUCCACUAGAUAACUGUAUUUCUGAGUUUGACACAGUUUGGUGUCUUACAUAUUAGCUAGGUUGGCUGCUGUUACAGCUCCUUUUAUUGCAUUAUCAUGACAUUGUUUAGAUGAUCACUUAUAUGAUUAGAUAUUAGAUAUUUAGUACACUUACUCUUUAAGAGUUCCCAAUGUGCUUUUCUAAGGCUUCAAGUAGGAAUUUCUUGGGUGUUUUCAAUACUACCUUGGCCCCUAUAAAUUUCCCAGCUGUAUUUACAUUCUAUAUUGCUUGUUGCAAAUCCCAGAUCUAAACAUGAAAAGAUUCCAUCCACAGAGUUAAACCUCGUAGCUGUUCUAGUACUGAGAAAUACCAGGUUGGGCAGGACAACAAACUGUUCCAGGUAUUUGCUGUUAUAAUCAGUUUUCCUGAUUUCCUAUAAUUCAUUAUGGCUAUUGAAGUCUCAUAAACAACAUACAGGACUUUCUAAUUGUCUAGUUUUUUUUAGAUGGGUUCUGUGGUGAUUUGUAUAAAGGCAGUGCUAUUCAUUCUGCAGAUGAAUCUCAAUAGCAAUGUACUCAAAACUUCAUUUCUUUACAUCUUUAUCAAUAUAAUUAAAGACCUUCCUUUAGAGCAGGAAGGAUAUUUAUAGUUAUUUUUCCGUCAUGCUGGAUUAUAUCAUAUCCUGGAAGUCUAAACAUAAGUUCUCAUUAACCAUGUACACAUUACAUUAUGAGGUUUUUUUUUCCCAUUUAAAAAGCUUCCUUUAAUGCUUGACCAUGUGUUGUUAAACUAUGUUCUAGGGGAAAAAAGUCAAUAGAAACAUUGUUUAAACUGCAUCACAUUCAUGCAAUUUUAAAUGAAGGUAGUCUGCUGAGAGAUUGCCUAUAUGCAAAUACUUUUUGCUGCUUUUGUUAUUAUAUGUAUUCUUUCAGAGAUCUUCCCUGUCUGUAAAAUGCAAUUCAUAAAGUUGGGUUGGCUCACCAGCUGGAGGGGGCGGGGGGAAUCAUUUUCCCUAGGUUGGCUUAGCUGGUUGGGAUGCAAGUUAAGUGCAAUUAAUCACUUGUCAUAAAUGCUAUACAUUUCCCAGUGCCUACAAGUACGUACUACAUUUUCAUCUGUCCCCCUUAUAUUAUGUUUCUGUGCUGGUUUUGUGGUGUUGUACUAGUAGCUCUCUUCCCACAUUAGCAUUUUCCUCCUCCUCCACUUUCCAUUGGGAUUAUGUUUUAGUUGCUACAGUACUACACAGGAUAUUCUAAGGCUUCAGAUAUGGAUAAACAAGUUAAAAGAAUGAAUGGAAUAUGAAAUAAAAACAAAUAUAUACCUAGUCUUAUAGUAAAUGAUAAAGUUGAAAAUUCUUACUUAUGAAAAAAAUGAAUAUUUUAGUAAAAAAGAGUUCAAAAAAUUAGUAGUGACAAAUCAAAGAAAGGAACUUUGUGAACAAAAAUGUUUGCUAAAAAAAUGGAUGAGCUCUUACAUGAUAGGGUAGAAUAUACAGAAUAAAUGAAAAUGUACGUUUACAGGAAUUUUAAAAAAGCUACAGGUAAAAGUAAAAAUGCAGUUUGCUAAGUAAGGAUAGUACCUGUGCUACCAUGCUUGAAACACUUACCAUAAGAAAGUUUAUUUUGUUGAAAUUAUGGAAUAUAUGGAAAGUAUGGAAAAGGUAUACUAGCAGCAGAGUGGAAGCAAGUGGUGAUUUAUACAGAUUGGAAAACCUGGUAAAUUAUGCAAAGACCUUAUGCAUACAGAUCUAUUGCCCUCACAUCCUGUGAAGACAACAUUGUAAGACUGAUAAAUGAGAGAGAUUAGUACAAUACAUGGAAAAAAUGAAAUAUAAACUGUGUAACAAAGUGGUUUCAGGACAGGAAGAUGCAAAGUUGAUCAUAUUGUAAAAUUAGAAACAAAUACCAAACAAAGUUUGAUAGUUGUGUUUUGGAGACUGAAAAAUGCAUGGUAUACCAUAGAGGGAAGCUUGCUGUAUAAACUAGCCACAGUUGGAUUAAGAGGAAGAAUGUUCUGGUUGAUAAGAAACUGCUUAAAUGUUAGAACCAUACAUGUCAGAUAGGGGCGGCUUUAAGUUAAAUGUUUAUAAAUUUUCUAAUGGCAUUUCAUAGGGGAGUGUGAUCAACCCAACCCUAUUUAACAUUAUUAUUAAUGAUCUUUGGCUAGUAUACAGGCAGGAAUAAGUGUUAGUCUAGUGCAGAUGAUGGUGAUAUAUGGGCCAAACAUAGAAGUUUUAAGAUAGCUGUGGAGGGAACUAAUGAGCAGUUGGAGAUUUAGGCUCUCACUUGUUCAAACAAAGGUAAUGUUCUUCAUCAAAAAGGAAAACUGAGGAAGGAUGGGAUUUCUCCCUAUAUAAAGAAAAAGUCAGAUAGGUUCAAAAGUUUACAUUUUUAGCAGUUAUAUUCAGUACAUUAACUUGGAAGGGUCAUAGAUAAUAUCAAAACUAACUGAACAGAUAGGAUGAAUCUGCUUUUAAGUAUUACCAGGAACAUGGGGUACAGAUACGAAAAAAAACCUGUUAAUGCUAUAUAGGGCAUUAAUAAGACCAGUUACAAAUUAUGGAUACUAAGUUCAACUUCUAAUAACAAAACACAGACUCAC
Molecule: non-coding RNA, 5046 nt
Organism: Pelodiscus sinensis (Chinese soft-shelled turtle)
Lineage: Eukaryota; Metazoa; Chordata; Testudines; Trionychidae
Source: RefSeq, a predicted model, not a curated record